UACGGAGGGUGCAAGCGUUAUCCGGAUUCACUGGGUUUAAAGGGUGCGUAGGUGGGUUGGUAAGUCAGUGGUGAAAUCUCCGUGCUUAACAUGGAAACUGCCAUUGAUACUACUGAUCUUGAAUUUUCAGGAGGUAAGCGGAAUAUGUCAUGUAGCGGUGAAAUGCUUAGAUAUGACAUAGAACACCAAUUGCGAAGGCAGCUCACUACACAAUCAUUGACGCUGAGGCACGAAAGCGUGGGGAUCAAACAGG
This 253-nucleotide ribosomal RNA is filed under the name uncultured bacterium. Its description in RNAcentral is "partial 16S ribosomal RNA". It matches the Rfam family "Bacterial small subunit ribosomal RNA", at positions 524 to 776 of the family's 1533-position model. The record is from RNAcentral.